RNAcentral lists this ribosomal RNA (248 nucleotides) under uncultured bacterium. RNAcentral describes it as "partial 16S ribosomal RNA". It matches the Rfam family "Bacterial small subunit ribosomal RNA", at positions 523 to 769 of the family's 1533-position model. The record is from RNAcentral.
ACACGUAGGGGGCAAGCGUUGUUCGGAAUUACUGGGCGUAAAGGGCAUGUAGGCGGUUUUUGUAAGCCUGACGUGAAAGGCUAUGGCUUAACCAUGGCACUGCGUUGGGAACUGCGAGACUUGAAUCACGGAGGGGGAGCUGGAAUUCCAGGUGUAGGGGUGAAAUCUGUAGAUAUCUGGAAGAACACCAGUGGCGAAGGCGAGCUCCUGGCCGAUGAUUGACGCUGAGGUGCGAAAGUGUGGGGAUC